RNAcentral lists this ribosomal RNA (428 nucleotides) under uncultured bacterium. Its description in RNAcentral is "partial 16S ribosomal RNA". It matches the Rfam family "Bacterial small subunit ribosomal RNA", at positions 354 to 796 of the family's 1533-position model. The record is from RNAcentral.
GUAGAGAAUAUUGCGCAAUGGGGGAAACCCUGACGCAGCGACGCCGCGUGAGUGAUGAAGGCCUUCGGGUCGUAAAGCUCUGUUGCAGGGGAAUAAAAAAAUGAAGGUACCCUGUGAGGAAGGAUCGGCUAACUUCGUGCCAGCAGCCGCGGUAAGACGAGGGAUCCUAGCGUUGCUCGGAAUCAUUGGGCGUAAAGAGGGCGUAGGUGGCUUGGUAAGUCAGGUGUGAAAGCCCAGGGCUCAACCCUGGAAGUGCAUUUGAUACUGCUGAGCUUGAGUGUCGGAGAGGUUACCGGAAUACCUGGUGUAGUGGUGAAAUACGUAGAUAUCAGGUGGAACACCGGAGGCGAAGGCGGGUAACUGGACGAACACUGACACUGAGGCCCGAAAGCGUGGGGAUCAAACAGGAUUAGAUACCCCAGUAGUCC